GUAGUCAUAUGCUUGUCUCAAAGAUUAAGCCAUGCAUGUCUAAGUAUAAGCAAUUAUACAGCGAAACUGCGAAUGGCUCAUUAAAUCAGUUAUCGUUUAUUUGAUAGUACCUUACUACUUGGAUAACCGUGGUAAUUCUAGAGCUAAUACAUGCUAAAAACCCCGACUCACGAAGGGGUGUAUUUAUUAGAUUAAAAGCCAAUGCCCUCCGGGGCUCACUGGUGAUUCAUAAUAACUUGCCGAAUCGCAUGGCCUUGCGCCGGCGAUGGUUCAUUCAAAUUUCUGCCCUAUCAGCUUUCGACGGCUGGGUCUUGGCCAGCCAUGGUGACAACGGGUAACGGAGGGUUAGGGCUCGACCCCGGAGAACGAGCCUGAGAAACGGCUAUUACAUCCAAGGAAGGCAGCAAGCGCGCAAAUUACCCAAUACCGACUCGGUGAGGUAGUGACGAUAAAUACUGAUACAGGGCUCUUUUGGGUCUUGUAGUUGGAAUGAGUACAAUUUAAAUCCCUUAACGAGGAACAAUUGGGGGGCAAGUUUGGUGCCAGCAGCC
RNAcentral lists this ribosomal RNA (551 nucleotides) under uncultured eukaryote. RNAcentral's name for it is "SSU rRNA". It matches the Rfam family "Eukaryotic small subunit ribosomal RNA", at positions 20 to 575 of the family's 1831-position model. The record is from RNAcentral.